RNAcentral lists this unclassified non-coding RNA (21 nucleotides) under Dictyostelium discoideum. The record is from RNAcentral. Lineage: Eukaryota; Evosea; Eumycetozoa; Dictyosteliales; Dictyosteliaceae.
AUCAUCUAACGAUGUUAAUUC